Non-coding RNA from Pelobates cultripes (western spadefoot toad), 207 nucleotides. NCBI's taxonomy places the organism in Eukaryota, Metazoa, Chordata, Amphibia, Anura, Pelobatidae. The record is from the annotation of a GenBank genome assembly.
GGGACAAUGAAGUUUGGUAUUUAAUAGCCUUCAAAUAUAUAUAUUAUCCGUGCAUGCAAUACUCUUGCCUCGCUGAGGCAGCCAUUCAGUGCAGGUAAGCAGGUUAUCUACCCCUUGUAGGGAGUACACACAGUACAGGAGGUAACAGGUAGUGUAGGGCACGAUGAGAGGAAUAUAUCAGAGUGUCAGUGCACAGCAGAAACGAAA